CAGCAACCUCUGGACAACACAUGUGGGUUCUAUGUGUCGCACAACCUUAUGCUUGCCAUGGGACAGACCAACUUGGAUGCUCCUGAGGAUUUUGAGGUGCUGACCAUUCCAAUCAACUUGGAGGAUAUUAGAGAGAAGAUCGCCAUGUUCAUCAUGUCGCAGAUCGCUGAUCCAAAAGGCGAGUUUCAUUUGUCCAGCAGUUGAAAAGAUGUAUGAAUAUUUUGGGACGCGCGCUUUACUUAAUUAAGUAUAUAUGGUUUGAACGAUCGAGCCUGAUGAGGCUGUUGUAUGAUCUCACACAGUAUAUAUAAUUUUUAUCUUAAUUGAACUUAAUUAUUUUGCUUUGUCGUCA
Long non-coding RNA from Sorghum bicolor (sorghum), 352 nucleotides. RefSeq lists it as uncharacterized. Lineage: Eukaryota; Viridiplantae; Streptophyta; Magnoliopsida; Poales; Poaceae. The transcript is spliced from 2 exons. The record is from RefSeq and is a predicted model, not a curated record.